GGGGGUAUAGCUCAGUUUGUAGAGUGUUUUCCUUGCAUGUACAAGGCCAUGGGUUCAAUCCCCAGCACCACCA
Ictidomys tridecemlineatus (thirteen-lined ground squirrel) is the source of this 73-nucleotide non-coding RNA. The record is from Rfam. Lineage: Eukaryota; Metazoa; Chordata; Mammalia; Rodentia; Sciuridae.